Non-coding RNA from Schistosoma mattheei, 78 nucleotides. The record is from Rfam. Lineage: Eukaryota; Metazoa; Platyhelminthes; Trematoda; Strigeidida; Schistosomatidae.
AGCUUUCUGAAUCCAUUUCGAGAUCUUGUCAGGCACCAAACUAAAAGGGCUGAUGAGACUUCCGAGAUGAGUAAAGUG